Non-coding RNA from Triticum aestivum (bread wheat), 135 nucleotides. The record is from Rfam. Lineage: Eukaryota; Viridiplantae; Streptophyta; Magnoliopsida; Poales; Poaceae.
CACGUAGACCCUCUGUUUUAAAUUACUUGACUUUUAUUUGUCUAGAUACGAAUGUAUCUAUGCUUGUUUAGUGUCUAGAUACAUCCGUAUCUAGACAAAUGGAGGUCAAGUAAUUUGGAACGGAGGGAGUAGAGU